RNAcentral lists this ribosomal RNA (607 nucleotides) under Salmonella enterica subsp. enterica serovar Kentucky. RNAcentral describes it as "partial 23S ribosomal RNA". It matches the Rfam family "Bacterial large subunit ribosomal RNA", at positions 1084 to 1693 of the family's 2925-position model. Lineage: Bacteria; Pseudomonadati; Pseudomonadota; Gammaproteobacteria; Enterobacterales; Enterobacteriaceae. The record is from RNAcentral.
CCCAGACAGCCAGGAUGUUGGCUUAGAAGCAGCCAUCAUUUAAAGAAAGCGUAAUAGCUCACUGGUCGAGUCGGCCUGCGCGGAAGAUGUAACGGGGCUAAACCAUGCACCGAAGCUGCGGCAGCGACACUGUGUGUUGUUGGGUAGGGGAGCGUUCUGUAAGCCUGCGAAGGUGUCCCGUGAGGGAUGCUGGAGGUAUCAGAAGUGCGAAUGCUGACAUAAGUAACGAUAAAGCGGGUGAAAAGCCCGCUCGCCGGAAGACCAAGGGUUCCUGUCCAACGUUAAUCGGGGCAGGGUGAGUCGACCCCUAAGGCGAGGCCGAAAGGCGUAGUCGAUGGGAAACGGGUUAAUAUUCCUGUACUUGGUGUUACUGCGAAGGGGGGACGGAGAAGGCUAUGUUGGCCGGGCGACGGUUGUCCCGGUUUAAGCGUGUAGGCUGGUUUUCCAGGCAAAUCCGGAAAAUCAAGGCUGAGGCGUGAUGACGAGGCACUACGGUGCUGAAGCAACAAAUGCCCUGCUUCCAGGAAAAGCCUCUAAGCAUCAGGUAACAUCAAAUCGUACCCCAAACCGACACAGGUGGUCAGGUAGAGAAUACCAAGGCGCUUGA